This 774-nucleotide ribosomal RNA is filed under the name uncultured Neocallimastigales. RNAcentral describes it as "partial large subunit ribosomal RNA". It matches the Rfam family "Eukaryotic large subunit ribosomal RNA", at positions 22 to 638 of the family's 3401-position model. Lineage: Eukaryota; Fungi; Neocallimastigomycota; Neocallimastigomycetes; Neocallimastigales. The record is from RNAcentral.
UUGUGUAUCAGUACAUGGCAUAUCAAUAACGGAGGAAAAGAAACUAACAAGGAUUCCCCUAGUAACGGCGAGUGAAGCGGGAAGAGCUCAAAUUUGAAAUCUUAAAGGGUUUCCCUUUACGAAUUGUAGUUUAAAGAAGUGUUUUCUGUUGGAGUUUCGGUAAAAGUUCUUUGGAAUAGGACAUCAUAGAGGGUGAGAAUCCCGUAUUUGGUCAUUCCUCCUAGCGUUGUGAUACACUUUCAACGAGUCGGAUUGUUUGGGAAUGCAGUCCAAAAUGGGUGGUAAAUUUCAUCUAAAGCUAAAUAUUGGCGAGAGACCGAUAGCGAACAAGUACCGUGAGGGAAAGAUGAAAAGAACUUUGAAAAGAGAGUUAAACAGUACGUGAAAUUGUCAAAAGGGAAGCGUUUGACACCAGUGUUGUUUAGUUGAAAAUCAAUUCAAUAGUUUUUGAUUCUAAGUAGUAUUGACUUCAUCAGCUUGCUGCUUUCUUCUCAGAAAUUAUUGAAUGCACUUUUCAGUUAACAAGUCAACAUCAAUUUCUUUUGUUGUAAAAGGGUAAGAGGAAGGUGGCUUGCGCUUCGGCUCAAGUGUUUAUAGCCUUUUAUCUCUGCAAUCGGAGAGAUUGAGGUCUGCAGCGUAGAUCCUUCGGGGUUAGAUACAUUGGUGCUAAGCUAUAGCCUUGUAUAGACAACUUGUUGGCUAUGCUCAGUCAUGUAGCUUACUCGCUGAUGCUAUUUUACCUACGCUUAGGAUGUUGACAGCAGUAUAGACUGU